CGUGCCUAUACAUGCAAGUCGAACGCACUCUCGUUUAGAUUGAAGGAGCUUGCUCCUGAUUGAUAACAUUUGAGUGAGUGGCGGACGGGUGAGUAACACGUGGGUAACCUGCCCUAAAGUGGGGGAUAACAUUUGGAAACAGAUGCUAAUACCGCAUAAAACCUAACACCGCAUGGUGUAGGGUUGAAAGAUGGUUUCGGCUAUCACUUUAGGAUGGACCCGCGGUGCAUUAGUUAGUUGGUGAGGUAAAGGCUCACCAAGACCGUGAUGCAUAGCCGACCUGAGAGGGUAAUCGGCCACACUGGGACUGAGACACGGCCCAGACUCCUACGGGAGGCAGCAGUAGGGAAUCUUCCACAAUGGACGAAAGUCUGAUGGAGCAACGCCGCGUGAGUGAAGAAGGUUUUCGGAUCGUAAAACUCUGUUGUUGGAGAAGAAUGUAUCUGAUAGUAACUGAUCAGGUAGUGACGGUAUCCAACCAGAAAGCCACGGCUAACUACGUG
Molecule: ribosomal RNA, 503 nt
Filed under: uncultured bacterium
Lineage: Bacteria
Description: bacterial SSU rRNA
Rfam family: Bacterial small subunit ribosomal RNA
Source: RNAcentral